Populus euphratica (Euphrates poplar) is the source of this 813-nucleotide long non-coding RNA. RefSeq lists it as uncharacterized. The record is from RefSeq and is a predicted model, not a curated record. The transcript is spliced from 3 exons. NCBI's taxonomy places the organism in Eukaryota, Viridiplantae, Streptophyta, Magnoliopsida, Malpighiales, Salicaceae.
CAUCAAGCCCCACGAAAUCUACUCUUUAUUCCACGAGUUCCCUGGCUACGAAUCUUCUCAUCUCCGUAGCUCCUCCCAAAAUUCACAUGACUAAAUGCUUUUGCCACGUUUGCAGACCAGCCGUCCGCCGUUGCAGCCAUGCAUGCACUGAAUGCAAGAUCAUCUUGCCCUGAUCCUCGAUGAAUGGUCUGGUUUGGAUAAGAAGGCUGGAGGGUCCUCUGGAUUCUUGAUGGCUCUCCUGAUUCAGGUUUUGGCAGCGUUCACUUGCCCGGAAUGACUAUUUCUGCUUUCAACACGAUUGGUAUUCCCAUCUGCACAAAGGUCAUUUGCACUUCUUGAGUACAUCUUUAUGAUAGAGCUAGAAAUGAGUCAAAAGCUGCAAAACUGGUUAAAUUACCUCACUGCUUUUGUUUUUAUGCAAAUAUCAGUCCCAUGAGUUCUGCACCUUUCUUUUCUAUCCCAAGUUUUAUCUCCUCGAAAUAGAAUUGCUAUCAUGUUCUUAUUGUUUGAGAAAUUGUUCAUUUCUAUAUCUGGAUUUUUUGUAAUUCUCUUGUGGAACUAAAAUUGUUCAUUUUAGUUCAUGGGAUAAGUUGUACUUGUAAGUGUUGUAGAAUGCUGGAAUAUUUACCAUAGAGAAACAUGACAUGCAAAUGUACUUUAGAGUAGAUUGUACUCCUGUUAGAGUUCUUGCACAUCCUUUAUGUCAUUAUGGGCCCAUUUAUUGUUGGAUUGUUUUCUAAUCAAAAUAACAGGAUUUAAUCUGUACAAAAGCAUUUAGUCUCUGAUGAUGAUAAACUAAUGUUUCCUACAUUG